AACGAACGCUGGCGGCAUGCCUAACACAUGCAAGUCGAACGAGACCUUCGGGUCUAGUGGCGCACGGGUGCGUAACGCGUGGGAAUCUGCCCUUGGGUUCGGAAUAACAGUGAGAAAUUACUGCUAAUACCGGAUGAUGUCUUCGGACCAAAGAUUUUAUCGCCCAGGGAUGAGCCCGCGUAGGAUUAGCUAGUUGGUGGGGUAAUGGCCUACCAAGGCGACGAUCCUUAGCUGGUCUGAGAGGAUGAUCAGCCACACUGGGACUGAGACACGGCCCAGACUCCUACGGGAGGCAGCAGUGGGGAAUAUUGGACAAUGGGCGCAAGCCUGAUCCAGCAAUGCCGCGUGAGUGAUGAAGGCCUUAGGGUUGUAAAGCUCUUUUACCCGGGAUGAUAAUGACAGUACCGGGAGAAUAAGCUCCGGCUAACUCCGUG
RNAcentral lists this ribosomal RNA (434 nucleotides) under uncultured bacterium. Its description in RNAcentral is "partial 16S ribosomal RNA". It matches the Rfam family "Bacterial small subunit ribosomal RNA", at positions 29 to 507 of the family's 1533-position model. The record is from RNAcentral.